GCCCUCCUAGAUCAGUGGCAGAUCGUCAGUUUCCGGCGACUUUGAGUCGACCUUAGUAGCUGAAGGUCGUGGGUUCAAUCCCCACGGUGGGUA
This is a non-coding RNA of Tulasnella sp. 427, 93 nucleotides long. The record is from the annotation of a GenBank genome assembly. Lineage: Eukaryota; Fungi; Basidiomycota; Agaricomycetes; Cantharellales; Tulasnellaceae.